CCUACGGGAGGCAGCAGUGAGGAAUAUUGGUCAAUGGGCUUAAUCCUUAACCCUCCCCUUCUCUUUCUUGAUGAAGGUUCUAUGGAUCGUAAACCUCUUUUAUAAGGGAAUAAAGUGUGGGACGUGUCCUAUUUUGUAUGUACCUUAUGAAUAAGGAUCGGCUAACUCCGUGCCAGCAGCCGCGGUAAUACGGAGGAUCCGAGCGUUAUCCGGAUUUAUUGGGUUUAAAGGGUGCGUAGGCGGCCUUUUAAGUCAGCGGUGAAAGUCUGUGGCUCAACCAUAGAAUUGCCGUUGAAACUGGGGGGCUUGAGUAUGUUUGAGGCAGGCGGAAUGCGUGGUGUAGCGGUGAAAUGCUUAGAUAUCACGCAGAACCCCGAUUGCGAAGGCAGCCUGCCAAGCCAUGACUGACGCUGAUGCAUGAAAGCGUGGGGAUCAAACAGGAUUAGAUACCCGAGUAGUC
RNAcentral lists this ribosomal RNA (460 nucleotides) under uncultured bacterium. RNAcentral describes it as "partial 16S ribosomal RNA". It matches the Rfam family "Bacterial small subunit ribosomal RNA", at positions 338 to 795 of the family's 1533-position model. The record is from RNAcentral.